UACAGAGGUCCCAAGCGUUGUUCGGAUUCUACUGGGCGUAAAGGGUGCGGUAGGUGGUCGGGUAAGUCUAGAUGUGAAAUCUCCGAGCUCAACUCGGAAAUGGCAUUGGAUACUAUUCGGCUAGAGGAGUGGAGGGGGGACUAGAAUACUUGGUGUAGCAGUGAAAUGCGUAGAUAUCAAGUGGAACACCAGUGGCGAAGGCGAGUCCCUGGACACUUCCAUGACACUGGAGGCAACGAAAGCCUAGGGGAGCAAACAGG
Molecule: ribosomal RNA, 260 nt
Filed under: uncultured bacterium
Lineage: Bacteria
Description: partial 16S ribosomal RNA
Rfam family: Bacterial small subunit ribosomal RNA
Source: RNAcentral